AUUUAUCACCGUUUAGGUUAUGUAUGAAAUGAAUUUUUAGAUACUGCGAAUUACUUUAUUUUUUAUUCAAUCUAAACAAUAAUGUGGUCGUUUUUCUCACGAGACCCUUCCAAAGAUUUCCCUUAUGAAAUUGGUGAGGCAAUUGUUUCAUUACAGGAUAAAAGCAUAUGGUCCUUACAUAGGGCUAAAAAAAAGGGUACAACCGAAGAUGUAUCAGUGUUCGUUUUUGAUGUGCAUAAUAAUUCAGACACACAAUUUGAGAUUGCUAAAUCAUCAGUGAAACGUUUAAAAACUUUACGUCAUCCAAGUAUUUUAACGUAUUUGGAUAGUUUGGAAACGGAUAAAAUAUUGUAUGUGGCUACGGAAAGUGUGGAACCACUUUGUACACAUUUAUCGAAAUUAAAUUUUGAUGGUGCUCAAAAAGAUUUGUAUUUAGCAUGGGGUAUUUUUCAAAUUACUAGAGCGUUAUCAUUUUUAAAUAAUGAUUGCAAUCUACGACAUAACAAUGUGAAUAUAUGGUCAGUAUUUGUAAAUGCAUCCGGUGAAUGGAAAUUAAGUGGAUUAGAGUAUAUAUCGGGUGUACAAGAUUCGGCAAACACUACCGUAUUACCAAUUAAAAUUACACCUGCUUUGGCAUUAUAUGAUCCACCAGAGAAAAAUGAUCUUGCGAAACAACGACAGAUCACAAAAUGUUCAACGGAUAUGUGGGGCCUUGGUUGUUUAAUCUGGGAAUCUUUUAAUGGACCAUUACAACAACAAUCGUCAUUAAAAAUGCUAGAAAAUAUACCAAAACAAUUAGGAACAUUAUAUUGUGAAUUAGUAGGUGCUAAUCCUACAUCCCGACCAAAUCCAGCUGAUAUAAUAACACGUUGCCGUAAAUUAGGUGGUUAUUUUAAGAAUGAUUUAGUUGAUGCUUUGCUAUUUUUAGAAGAAAUACAAAUCAAAGACAAAAAUGAAAAAAAUCGUUUCUUUUCAAAUUUAACACCUCAAUUGGAUAAUUUUCCGGAUAAUGUAUGUAAACAUAAAAUAUUACCGCAGUUAAUCACUGCAUUUGAGUAUGGUGAUGCGGGUUCAGCGGUAUUAGCACCAAUGUUCAAACUUGGACGGUUGUUAGAUGAAGCUGAUUAUCAGAAAAAAAUCGUACCAUGUGUUGUAAAACUAUUUACAAGUAAUGAUCGUGCAACACGAUCACGAUUAUUACAACAAUUGGAACAUUUUAUUGGGCAUUUACAACCGAAUACCGUUAAUGAACAAAUAUUUCCACAAAUAGCACAUGGAUUUCUCGAUACAAAUGCAACAAUUCGUGAACAAACUGUUAAGUCAAUAAUACAUUUAGCACCAAAAUUAAAUUAUAAUAAUUUAAAUGUAGAAGUGUUACGUCAUUUUGCACGUUUACAAGCAAAAGAUGAUCAAGGUGGAAUUCGAACGAAUACAACAGUAUGCUUAGGAAAGAUAGCACAACAUCUUCAUCCACAAAUUAGGCAAAAAGUAUUAAUUUCAGCUUUUAUACGAGCCAUGCGUGAUCCAUUUCCACCUGCAAGAAACGCAGGCAUUUUGGCUUUAGCCGCUACACAACAGUAUUUCUUAUUAAAUGACGUUGCAACUCGUGUACUUCCAGCGUUAUGUCAUUUGACAUGUGAUCCAGAAAAAAUGGUACGCGAUUCUGUAUUUCGUACUAUCAAAGGGUUUCUAGGUAAACUUGAAAAAGUAUCAGAAGAUCCAAGUUUACGUGAAAGCAUGGAGGCUGAUGUAAAUACAGCUGCACCUAGUUUAAGUAAUGCGGCCGCUACAUGGGCUGGAUGGGCUGUAACAGCCGUUACAGCUAAGUUCUAUCGCAGUCAAUCAGAUACUGUUAAAUCAUCACUAAAUCCAUUAACCAGUAAGACGCUUAGUAAGCCAGGAUCGCUUGAACAACCAUCUAGUAGCAGUAUAUCCACAACAACUUCUAGUGUAACAUCAAUGACAUCUUUAGAACAAGAAGAAAGUAAGGGUAAUGAUUCUGUAUCAGAUUAUGAUGACCAUUGGGGUGAUAAUGAUAACUGGGGUGAUAUGGACACAAAUAGUGAAUCAAAAACAAACACUGUAACACCAAAUAAUCGACCAAUUACAAAUAAUACCGACGGUUGGGAUAAUGAAGAAUGGGGUAGUUUAGAAGAGGAACCAGUUGCUGAAUUAGCUUCACCUAGUGAAACAUGGAAUGCUAGUGAUUUUGCUCCAGUGCCAGAAGAUUCUAUGUCAAGAUCAGUGAGUGCCAGUGGUGAUUCACGAACAAAUGACACUCUACAUCGAAUUCCACAUAAACCGCAAACAAGUUGGGAAGAUUGUGAAUUUGAACCUUUAGAAUCAGCAGGAACCAAUAAAUUUGAAGAAGCAAGAAAGAAACGUGAAGAAAAGAAAUUAUUAAGACAAAAAGAGUUAGAAGCACGUCGAGCAAAUCGUGCAGCUGGGGGACCUAUGAAACUAGGUGCCAAAAAAAUGUAACCCAUUAUUUUAAAAUAGGUUACCUAUAUUAAACGGAUUGUUGGCACCAGGGCCGGAUUAACCAAUGGAGACUCCCUAGGCAAUGCAAUUAUCGUGGCCACUUUUCAGCCGUUUGAAGACCAUCAGGUCUUUUCAAGAUGAUGAAGAGAUGUUUAUCCAAUUGUAAUACCCGACUGAUAAUUUUACGAAAAUGAGGGUGAAUAUUAUUUGUUACAUCGCAUUAAUAUGCCGAUAAUUAGGUAACGUUUCAGAAAGUUUUGAAAAUACAGUUUUGAUGUUCUAUCGAAAAUAUUGUGUUUUAAAGAAAUUUUAUUCAGAGGUUUUGGCACUCAUUUCGUUAAAGUAAUUGAUAUUUACUUUACGGGUGGCUCGAAGUAUCCAAAAUAUAAUAGGAACGUAUUAUUUAAUAGGUUUUGUUUAUUUUUUGUGAGUCCGUCAGAAAAAAGUACUGAAGAUACCAAGAUGUGGUUUAAUUUUAAAUUACCUUUGAAUAGUUCGUUCAGUGAUAAUUGUAAGCUACCAUCCAUAGAUACGCCGUUAAUUGAUAGGACAAGACAGGUCAAAAUUCGUAUUUCAACAAUAUUUUAGAACGACCUACUUGCAAAUGCUUCUUUGUGCUUCACCAUUGCACAUAAAAAGCUUGUAGAAUAUAUUCUUUGAAAAGUGAAGAAAAUUUCGGAGCCAACUACUUGCAUUGCUGCCGUUGCCAAUACUCUUUGUUAUUAAAAACCAUUUCCAAUAAUUCAAUCAAUUUUCAAUUGUCUGCUGUUUAAAACUAUUUAAAAUGAUAUAGAAUAUUCUAAAUCAAUCUUUCUAUAAUGAUAUAAAACGACUUAAAUUUUAAAUCGUUUUAUUGUUUUAAACGGUAAUAUAUAGUUUUUUUCUGAAC
This is an RNA transcript of Chrysoperla carnea, 3370 nucleotides long. It is a transcript of the gene named N-terminal kinase-like protein, with no coding region annotated. The record is from RefSeq and is a predicted model, not a curated record. NCBI's taxonomy places the organism in Eukaryota, Metazoa, Arthropoda, Insecta, Neuroptera, Chrysopidae. The transcript has 13 exons.